AGUGGGGAAUAUUGCACAAUGGAGGAAACUCUGAUGCAGCAACGCCGCGUGGAGGAUGACGCAUUUCGGUGUGUAAACUCCUUUUAUAUAGGAAGAUAAUGACGGUACUAUAUGAAUAAGCACCGGCUAACUCCGUGCCAGCAGCCGCGGUAAUACGGAGGGUGCAAGCGUUACUCGGAAUCACUGGGCGUAAAGCGCAUGCAGGCGGUUUAUUAAGUUGGAAGUGAAAUCCUAUGGCUCAACCAUAGAACUGCUUCCAAAACUGAUAAACUAGAGUCUGGGAGGGGAAGAUGGAAUUAGUAGUGUAGGGGUAAAAUCCGUAGAGAUUACUAGGAAUACCAAAAGCGAAGGCGAUCUUCUGGAACAGUACUGACGCUGAGAUGCGAAAGCGUGGGGAGCAAACAGGAUUAGAUACCCUGGUAGUCCACGCAGUAAACGAUGAAUGUUAGUCGUUGGGACUCUAGUAGUUUCAGUGAUGCAGUUAACACAUUAAACAUUCCGCCUGGGGAGUACGGUCGCAAGAUUAAAACUCAAAGGAAUAGACGGGGACCCGCACAAGUGGUGGAGCAUGUGGUUUAAUUCGAAGAUACGCGAAGAACCUUACCUAGCCUUGACAUACUACAGAAUUUGACAGAGAUGUUGAAGUGGCUUCGGGAGCUGUAAUACAGGUGCUGCACGGCUGUCGUCAGCUC
Molecule: ribosomal RNA, 692 nt
Filed under: uncultured bacterium
Lineage: Bacteria
Description: bacterial SSU rRNA
Rfam family: Bacterial small subunit ribosomal RNA
Source: RNAcentral